GGCUCAGGAUGAACGCUAGCGGCAGGCUUAAUACAUGCAAGUCGUGGGGCAGCAUGAGUAGCAAUACUUGAUGGCGACCGGCAAACGGGUGAGGACCACGUACACAACCUUCCUUCAAGCGGGGAAUAGCCCAGAGAAAUUUGGAUUAAUACCCCAUAAUAUAUUUGAUAAGGCAUCUUAUUAAUAUUAAAAGCUUCGGCACUUGAUGAUGGGUGUGCGGCUGAUUAGAUAGUUGGCGGGGUAACGGCCCACCAAGUCUACGAUCAGUAGCUGAUGUGAGAGCAUGAUCAGCCACACGGGCACUGAGACACGGGCCCGACUCCUACGGGAGGCAGCAGUAAGGAAUAUUGGACAAUGGACGAAAGUCUGAUCCAGCCAUGCCGCGUGAAGGAUUAAGGUCCUCUGGACUGUAAACUUCUUUUAUAUGGGACGAAAAAGGGCAUUCUUGUUCACUUGACGGUACCAUAUGAAUAAGCACCGGCUAACUCCGUG
RNAcentral lists this ribosomal RNA (492 nucleotides) under uncultured bacterium. RNAcentral describes it as "bacterial SSU rRNA". It matches the Rfam family "Bacterial small subunit ribosomal RNA", at positions 21 to 507 of the family's 1533-position model. The record is from RNAcentral.